AAGCGACCGUCGAUCGGACGGACGGUUAUCCUUUACGCAUUCAAAAAUUUGCUUCCACUCAAUCGUCGCAUAAAGUUGUGCGUCUUUCCUUUCUUUAACGCUGCGCGCUCGGUACUUUCAUUUUAUGAUGAACGGCAUCAAACGGCAAGCAGGGCAUGCGUGACAUAGCAUUAUUGACAGGAAAGUAGCGAGCGCACACUUUUCAAGAAAGGAAAUGCAAGCAAGGUAGAGGAUAUUACGGUUGCGCAAGCUUUCCCUAGAUCAAAAAGAAGCCUUUGUUUUAUCUAGGGACUUUACCGAACCGCUGCUUAAACGACUGGCAUCGCCUAGCCGUCAUUAAUGGACACGGGAGAGCGGAGCAGCCAUGUGCACGCCGCUUCUACUCUAAACGAACGAGCAAUGUUUGUUUGCUGCUCCUCCCGUGUCCACAUGUAUUGCGAGCAACUUUGUCUGAAUGUGUAUUCGUCGCGGAAGGCUUAUUAUUGUGUGGUGAGGUCGAGCCCAAUCACCCGAUGUUCUGGAUUUAAGCGUGAGGCCCUGAUGUGAAGUCCCGACACUGGAUGCAGUGACCUGUCCUCGAGUCGCACGUGUCUGCGUGACCGUUGCAGUCGCAGCGCUGGCAGUUGGGGUAGUUCCAGAAGCCAGGCUGGCAUUCGUCGCACUGUCGGCCGUCCAGCCGAAUGGACACGGAUUGCACGCCGUUCUCGGACUGCCACCAUGUAUCCUUGUGCCUUCUGCCAAUCCUGAAAUGCAAACAAAGCAGGGACGAAGCGAUGCAAUGGAAAGGGAGGACACAGGGAGACGUCUCACAGGCAGCCUACGUUGGCUCACACAUCAAACCUCAAUAUAAUGAACAUGGAUAUGACAAAAAGAGGCAUCGACAGUAGCGGCAGAGUAGCAGGCUAUCUGCAUACUCCUCGCGGAGGCCAUGCUUCUUCCGGAGGCGGUGGAAGAGGCGCUGCCACCCGGGGGCGCCGUCGAGCUUUUCUGGCGGCUGCUGCAGCCA
Long non-coding RNA from Dermacentor albipictus, 1006 nucleotides. RefSeq lists it as uncharacterized. The record is from RefSeq and is a predicted model, not a curated record. NCBI's taxonomy places the organism in Eukaryota, Metazoa, Arthropoda, Arachnida, Ixodida, Ixodidae.